RNAcentral lists this ribosomal RNA (2927 nucleotides) under Klebsiella michiganensis. RNAcentral's name for it is "bacterial LSU rRNA". It matches the Rfam family "Bacterial large subunit ribosomal RNA". Lineage: Bacteria; Pseudomonadati; Pseudomonadota; Gammaproteobacteria; Enterobacterales; Enterobacteriaceae. The record is from RNAcentral.
GGGUUGUGAGGUUAAGCGACUAAGCGUACACGGUGGAUGCCCUGGCAGUCAGAGGCGAUGAAGGACGUGCUAAUCUGCGAAAAGCGUCGGUAAGGUGAUAUGAACCGUUACAGCCGGCGAUGUCCGAAUGGGGAAACCCAGUGCAAUUCGUUGCACUAUCGUUUGAUGAAUACAUAGUCAAACGAGGCGAACCGGGGGAACUGAAACAUCUAAGUACCCCGAGGAAAAGAAAUCAACCGAGAUUCCCCCAGUAGCGGCGAGCGAACGGGGAGCAGCCCGGAGUCUGAAUCAGCUUGUGUGUUAGUGGAAGCGUCUGGAAAGUCGCAGGGUACAGGGUGAUACUCCCGUACACUAAAACACACAGGCUGUGAACUCGAAGAGUAGGGCGGGACACGUGGUAUCCUGUCUGAAUAUGGGGGGACCAUCCUCCAAGGCUAAAUACUCCUGACUGACCGAUAGUGAACCAGUACCGUGAGGGAAAGGCGAAAAGAACCCCGGCGAGGGGAGUGAAAAAGAACCUGAAACCGUGUACGUACAAGCAGUAGGAGCCCACUUGUUGGGUGACUGCGUACCUUUUGUAUAAUGGGUCAGCGACUUAUAUUCUGUAGCAAGGUUAACCGUAUAGGGGAGCCGCAGGGAAACCGAGUCUUAACUGGGCGUUAAGUUGCAGGGUAUAGACCCGAAACCCGGUGAUCUAGCCAUGGGCAGGUUGAAGGUUGGGUAACACUAACUGGAGGACCGAACCGACUAAUGUUGAAAAAUUAGCGGAUGACUUGUGGCUGGGGGUGAAAGGCCAAUCAAACCGGGAGAUAGCUGGUUCUCCCCGAAAGCUAUUUAGGUAGCGCCUCGUGAACUCAUCUUCGGGGGUAGAGCACUGUUUCGGCUAGGGGGUCAUCCCGACUUACCAACCCGAUGCAAACUACGAAUACCGAAGAAUGUUAUCACGGGAGACACACGGCGGGUGCUAACGUCCGUCGUGAAGAGGGAAACAACCCAGACCGCCAGCUAAGGUCCCAAAGUCAUGGUUAAGUGGGAAACGAUGUGGGAAGGCCCAGACAGCCAGGAUGUUGGCUUAGAAGCAGCCAUCAUUUAAAGAAAGCGUAAUAGCUCACUGGUCGAGUCGGCCUGCGCGGAAGAUGUAACGGGGCUAAACCAUGCACCGAAGCUGCGGCAGCGACACUAUGUGUUGUUGGGUAGGGGAGCGUUCUGUAAGCCGUUGAAGGUGGCCUGUGAGGGUUGCUGGAGGUAUCAGAAGUGCGAAUGCUGACAUAAGUAACGAUAAUGCGGGUGAAAAACCCGCACGCCGGAAGACCAAGGGUUCCUGUCCAACGUUAAUCGGGGCAGGGUGAGUCGACCCCUAAGGCGAGGCCGAAAGGCGUAGUCGAUGGGAAACAGGUUAAUAUUCCUGUACUUGGUGUUACUGCGAAGGGGGGACGGAGAAGGCUAUGUUGGCCGGGCGACGGUUGUCCCGGUUUAAGCGUGUAGGUGUGUGUUCCAGGUAAAUCCGGUUCACUUUAACACUGAGGCGUGAUGACGAGGCACUACGGUGCUGAAGUGACAAAUGCCCUGCUUCCAGGAAAAGCCUCUAAGCAUCAGGUAACAUCAAAUCGUACCCCAAACCGACACAGGUGGUCAGGUAGAGAAUACCAAGGCGCUUGAGAGAACUCGGGUGAAGGAACUAGGCAAAAUGGUGCCGUAACUUCGGGAGAAGGCACGCUGAUAUGUAGGUGAAGUGGUUUACCCAUGGAGCUGAAAUCAGUCGAAGAUACCAGCUGGCUGCAACUGUUUAUUAAAAACACAGCACUGUGCAAACACGAAAGUGGACGUAUACGGUGUGACGCCUGCCCGGUGCCGGAAGGUUAAUUGAUGGGGUUAUCCGUAAGGAGAAGCUCUUGAUCGAAGCCCCGGUAAACGGCGGCCGUAACUAUAACGGUCCUAAGGUAGCGAAAUUCCUUGUCGGGUAAGUUCCGACCUGCACGAAUGGCGUAAUGAUGGCCAGGCUGUCUCCACCCGAGACUCAGUGAAAUUGAACUCGCUGUGAAGAUGCAGUGUACCCGCGGCAAGACGGAAAGACCCCGUGAACCUUUACUAUAGCUUGACACUGAACACUGGUCCUUGAUGUGUAGGAUAGGUGGGAGGCUUUGAAGUGUGGACGCCAGUCUGCAUGGAGCCAUCCUUGAAAUACCACCCUUUAAUGGCUGGUGUUCUAACGUGGGCCCGUAAUCCGGGUUGCGGACAGUGUCUGGUGGGUAGUUUGACUGGGGCGGUCUCCUCCUAAAGAGUAACGGAGGAGCACGAAGGUCAGCUAAUCCUGGUCGGACAUCAGGAGGUUAGUGCAAUGGCAUAAGCUGGCUUGACUGCGAGCGUGACGGCGCGAGCAGGUGCGAAAGCAGGUCAUAGUGAUCCGGUGGUUCUGAAUGGAAGGGCCAUCGCUCAACGGAUAAAAGGUACUCCGGGGAUAACAGGCUGAUACCGCCCAAGAGUUCAUAUCGACGGCGGUGUUUGGCACCUCGAUGUCGGCUCAUCACAUCCUGGGGCUGAAGUAGGUCCCAAGGGUAUGGCUGUUCGCCAUUUAAAGUGGUACGCGAGCUGGGUUUAGAACGUCGUGAGACAGUUCGGUCCCUAUCUGCCGUGGGCGCUGGAGAAUUGAGGGGGGCUGCUCCUAGUACGAGAGGACCGGAGUGGACGCAUCACUGGUGUUCGGGUUGUCAUGCCAAUGGCAUUGCCCGGUAGCUAAAUGCGGAAGAGAUAAGUGCUGAAAGCAUCUAAGUACGAAACUUGCCCCGAGAUGAGUUCUCCCUGACUCCUUGAGAGUCCUGAAGGAACGUUGAAGACGACGACGUUGAUAGGCCGGGUGUGUAAGCGCAGCGAUGCGUUGAGCUAACCGGUACUAAUGAACCGUGAGGCUUAACCUUACAACGCCGAAG